This 560-nucleotide long non-coding RNA is filed under the name Homo sapiens (human). Its description in RNAcentral is "HSALNT0297253". Lineage: Eukaryota; Metazoa; Chordata; Mammalia; Primates; Hominidae. The record is from RNAcentral.
GCAUUCAAUCCAUAUGAGCUGAAGGAAAAGAUUGAUCGCCGUUCUGGUAAAAAGCUGGAAGAUGGCCCUAAAUUCUUGAAGUCUGGUGAUGCUGCCAUCAUUGAUGUGGUUCCUGGCAAGCACAUUUGUGUUGAGAGUUUAUCAGACUAUCCACCUCUGGGUGGCUUUGCUGUUCAUGAUAUGAGACAGGCAAUUGCUGUGGGUGUGUGUCAUCAAAGGAGUGGACAAGAAGGCUGCUGGAGAUGGCAAAGUCACCUAGUCUGCCCAGAAGGCUAAAUGAAUAUUAUCCCUAAUACCAGCCACCCCGGGUUUAAUCAGUGGUGGAGGAAUGGUAUCAGGGCUGUUUGUUUAAACUGGCCAUUUAAGUUUAAUAGUAGAAGACUGGUUAAUGAUAACAAUGCAUCGUAAAAUCUUCAGAAGGAAAGGAAAAUGUUUUGAGUACCACUUUGAUUCUCUUUUUUGCGUGUGGCAGUUUUAAGUUAUUCGUUUUUAAAAUCAGUAUUUUUUUCUUUUUUUUAAAUUAUACUUUAAGUUCUGGGAUACAUGUGCAGAAAAGUGCA